RNAcentral lists this ribosomal RNA (433 nucleotides) under uncultured bacterium. RNAcentral describes it as "partial 16S ribosomal RNA". It matches the Rfam family "Bacterial small subunit ribosomal RNA", at positions 29 to 507 of the family's 1533-position model. The record is from RNAcentral.
AACGAACGCUGGCGGCAGGCCUAACACAUGCAAGUCGAGCGAGGACUUCGGUUCUAGCGGCGGACGGGUGAGUAACGCGUGGGAAUGUGCCCUUCUCUACGGAAUAGCCCUGGGAAACUGGGAGUAAUACCGUAUACGCCCUAUUGGGGAAAGAUUUAUCGGAGAAGGAUCAGCCCGCGUUGGAUUAGGUAGUUGGUGGGGUAAUGGCCUACCAAGCCGACGAUCCAUAGCUGGUUUGAGAGGAUGAUCAGCCACACUGGGACUGAGACACGGCCCAGACUCCUACGCGAGGCAGCAGUGGGGAAUCUUAGACAAUGGGGGCAACCCUGAUCCAGCCAUGCCGCGUGAGUGAUGAAAGCCUUAGGGUUGUAAAGCUCUUUCAGCUGGGAAGAUAAUGACGGUACCAGCAGAAGAAGCCCCGGCUAACUCCGUG